This is a long non-coding RNA of Panicum virgatum (switchgrass), 1021 nucleotides long. RefSeq lists it as uncharacterized. The transcript has 2 exons. Lineage: Eukaryota; Viridiplantae; Streptophyta; Magnoliopsida; Poales; Poaceae. The record is from RefSeq and is a predicted model, not a curated record.
GGUGCCCAGUGCCCACGCCGCGCAGCGCGCAGGGCUGGGCCGCCUAGGGGCGGUAGGGGCCGAGGGGCGCUCGCCCGCUAGCUGAGCAGCCGGCAGCCAACCGAACAAAGUCAGCCUGUCGUAGUGAACCAAGGUUUAAACUAUGAAAAGGAAGAAGGGCGGCAGUGCUGCUACUGAUUUCUACGAUGCUAGUUAAAAGAGAUAUGGUUUUUCGGUAUGGCAUUGUGUACAAACUUCUCAAAUUGGUUCUAGUUCUUCCUGUUGCAACUGCUAGUGUUGAGAGAAUCUUUUUUGCAAUGAACACUAUCAAAAACAAGCUAAGAACUUAAGAAGAAAGAUGAGGCAGAAAUUUUGAAUAAUUGUUUGACCACAUUCCUUAAAAAGGAAUUUUUUUUGCAAACGAAAGAUGAGGACAUCAUCAAGUAUUUUCAAACUACGAAGGAACAUAAAGUUAUUUUAUAAUUUGUAAGCAUCCUUAUCAAUGCCAUUUGUUCUAGUACAUAUAUUAUCUAUAUGUUGAAUAAUUUCAAAUUAUGAACAAUUUGUGUUGUUAUUACUCAAUCAUAUGCUACCUACUAAUAUGUAUGUUGGGCUGUUAAUUUUUUUUUGCACUCCUUGAAAUUUUGAAUACCCGGCUCCCAAAUCCUGAGCCCGCCCUGUUCGCAAGUUUGUUGCAGUUGUGGCGAGAGUUGUGGAAGACGUGGACUGGGCUUGGAUGGAUCCAGGUAUGCCUCCAUGGCCAGCUUUCACAAUCUAUAAAAGCUUGGCUUAACAGUCAACACUCUAGCGGUGACUCAAAAAAAAAAAAAAGAGUUAACACUCUAGCUUCUGGUUGCUACAGGCCCAGCUUUUUACAAUCUGGGCGGAUUCAAACUGGCCGGCAUCUUUUUUCUGACAGGUUCUUUCGAAAAAUAACACUACGUUUUUGUAUGAAGAUUUAGUGUCACGUAGUUGUGUCAUCAAUAAUAUUGAUACAAUAUUAGCAUUACUUAUAUUGAUGGGGGUUAUAAUUGUACUGAAA